GGGCUUGUAGCUCAGCCUGGUUUAGAGCGCCAGUCUUAUAAGCUGGACGUCGCGGGUUCGAAUCCCGCCAGGCCCA
This 76-nucleotide transfer RNA is filed under the name Microcaldota archaeon. RNAcentral's name for it is "tRNA-Ile". It matches the Rfam family "tRNA". Rfam says of the family: Transfer RNA (tRNA) molecules are approximately 80 nucleotides in length. Their secondary structure includes four short double-helical elements and three loops (D, anti-codon, and T loops). The record is from RNAcentral. Lineage: Archaea; Nanobdellati; Microcaldota.